GACGAACGCUGGCGGCGUGCUUAACACAUGCAAGUCGAACGGAAAGGCCUGCUUUCCCUUGUGGAUUGCGGGUACUCGAGUGGCGAACGGGUGAGUAACACGUGAGUGAUCUGCCCCCAACUUGGGUAUAAGCCUGGGAAACUGGGUCUAAUUCCCGAUAGGACUGCAGGGUGGUGCCUGUGGUGGAAAACGAUUUUCUAGUGGUUGGGGAUGAGCGCGCGGCCUAUCAGCUUGUUGGUGGGGUAAUGGCCUACCAAGGCGGCGACGGGUAGCCGGCCUGAGAGGGUGGACGGCCACAUUGGGACUGGGAUACGGCCCAGACUCCUACGGGAGGCAGCAGUGGGGAAUAUUGCACAAUGGGCGGAAGCCUGAUGCAGCGACGCCGCGUGGGGGAUGACGGCCUUCGGGUUGUAAACUCCUUUCGACCGCGAGGAAGCCACCUGGUUGGAAGGGUGGUGACGGUAGUGGUAGAAGAAGCACCGGCUAACUACGUG
RNAcentral lists this ribosomal RNA (494 nucleotides) under uncultured bacterium. RNAcentral's name for it is "partial 16S ribosomal RNA". It matches the Rfam family "Bacterial small subunit ribosomal RNA", at positions 28 to 507 of the family's 1533-position model. The record is from RNAcentral.